RNAcentral lists this long non-coding RNA (2791 nucleotides) under Marmota monax (woodchuck). Lineage: Eukaryota; Metazoa; Chordata; Mammalia; Rodentia; Sciuridae. The record is from RNAcentral.
AUGGGGUGGGUGCUCUAUGGAGCUGGGCAAGAGCAAGUCGGGACCUUCCCUCUGAAUCUGAGAGAGACAUCAGAUUGCCUCUCUGUAACUCUGGUGUGUGUGUGUGUGUGUGUGUGUGCAUGUGAGGGGACAGUGGAGAUAUUUUUAUUUUUAUUUUUUGGUACUAGGGAUUGAACCCAGGGGCACUCAAUCCCUGGGCCACAUCCCCAGCCCUUUUUUAUAAUAAUAUUGUGAGAUAGUCUCACUAAAUUGCUUAGGGCCUUGCUAAGUUGCUGAGGCUGGCUUUGAACUUGUGAUCAUCCUGCCUCAGUCUCUUGAGCCACUGGGAUUCUACAGGUGUGUGUCACCAUGCUCGGCUGAGAGAGAUUUUUAAAGGAGUGCAGUACCCUCCUGAGUCAGCAUAUUAGCAGCAGAAAGGGUGGGAGAGCCCCCCAGAGGGCAGAUAUUUCAGAGGGGAGCCUAGGCUAUAAGACCCAGUCAUGAUUCCACACAGAGAAUGUUCCAUUAGAAUCCUUAGAGGGUGUACUGGAUUUAGCAAGGGUCCCCAAUUUUUCAUGUCCAUCCAGAGCCUCAAAAUAUGACCUUAUUUGUAAACAGGGUCUCCACAGAGAAGUUAGUUUUCUUAUGAUGAGGUCAUAUGGAUCACAGUGAAUCCUAAUUUUAUAACUGGUACCUUUUUAAAAAUUUUUAAUUUAAUUUAGUUUUUAAAUUUAUAUAUGACAGCAGAAUGCAUUAUAAUUCUUAUAACAUAUAUACAGCACAAUUUUUCAUAUCUCUGUAUACAUAGUCACACCAAUUCGUGUCUUCAUACAUGUACUUUGGAUAGUAAUGAUCAUCACAUUCCACCAUCAUUAAUAACCCCAUGCCCCUUCCCUUCGCUUCUCGUCCUUCUGCCUUAUCUAGUGUUGGUCUAUUCCUCCCAUGCUCCCCCUCCCUAUCCCACUAUGAAUCAGUCACCUUAUAUCAAAGAAAACAUUUGGCAUUUGGUUUUUUGGGAUUGGCUGACUUCACUUAGCAUUAUCUUCUCUAACCCCAUCCAUUUACCUGCAAAUGCCAUGAUUUUAUUCUCUUUUAUUGCUGAGUAAUAUUCCAUUGUGUGUAUAUGCCACAUUUUUUUUUAUCUGUUCACCUAAUGAUCUUUAUAGGAAAAUGGAAAUUUGGGAAGAGAAACAGAUACCUAGAGAAGGCCAUAUGAAGACAGAAAGAAGCAAGGACUGGAGUGAUACACAGGCCGAGGUUGGAGAGAUGUGCUGUAAACCAACAGCUGCUGAGGAUUGUUAACAACCCAAUCCUCAUAAACCAGGAAGAUGCAAGUGAGGAUUCUUCCCUGGAUCUUUCAAAGGGAGCAUGGCCUGGCUGUCAUCCUGAUUUGGGACUUCUAGCUUCCAGAACUAUGUGAAGAUAAUUUCUGUUGUUUUAGGUCACACGGAUACUAUGAUGGCAACCCUAGGAAAUCAGUAGAGGCCAAACCUUGGGUCAUCUGUGAUGCUGCCUACAGUGUACCCCAUGUUUCUCCCAUCCUGUGAGUUGUUUCACCAAUGGCUCAGUCUCAGUUGUAAAUCUGCCUCCUAAAGUCCCUAUUCUGGAGGAGAGAGACACCCAGCUGAAGGUGGACCAGCCAGCACCAUGUUCCUUCCCGUCUCUGGACCAAAAUGAGAAAGAGAAACUGUCUUACUUCCCUCUGCUCUCCAUUUUAUGCUCAUUUUUCCUGGUUUAGUUAGACCCUCGGGGUUAACAUGGAUUUUAAAAAUUCCUAGUCCCCACUGAAUGCCCGACUUCUCUUGGCAAUGUCUCUAGUAAGAGGUCAUCUUGCCCCCUCCCCCAGUUCGACCCCUCUAGGAUCUCAGGAAUGUCUUAUUGCCCCUUCCUUCUCCCUCUCGCCCUUCCAUGAAUAUUCAUCGACUACUAGCUCUGUGCAGGGAGCAAAAGACUGAGCCCCUGCCCAUAUAUUUGAUGCUGUAGAUUUGAUGCUGUAAAGCUCUUCCUUUGUCAGCUCCUGAUCUGCUGCCAAGGCAAGCCAAGCCUGUUCUUGGUCUAGGCAGGAAGGGGAAUUGUGGUGGUGAACUUGUCACUACUCCCCUUCAAGGUCAAUCAUGUCCUGCUCUCACAUCUAGACCAGUGUAGGCAUCAGGAAAGGAAAAACAGUUGAGAUGGCAUCUCACUCCUCUUUAAUCAGUCUGGUUGCUAUAAGUGGCCUCCAAACCCAUUUUACAAGACAAUUGAUGUCUAAAACACUCCAACCAUGGCCACCUCUACGCUGUAUUUAUCUCCAAAUCAAAUUAAGUAUCCGAUGUGUGUUCAGAAGGGAUUGCUUUUAUUAUAUGGGACACACAUUGUCACAUGAUGUUGAAGAGUGUUAUCACACGUGUAUUUACCAAAAUGCAAUAUAUGUAAUUAUAUAUUUCAUUGUAUAAGAAAUAAAAUCUUUGGCAGGGUUACCCAAUGCAUUGAAUAAUCUGAUGACAUUUUAUGGACAUUUUGGAGCUAGCAGAAACUUUGUAAUGAUCUAGCUUUCUCAUUUUUAUGACAGAGGAAACAAAAGUAGAAAGAGCUAACUUACCCUGUCCCACAGAGAGCUAGAGACUGACAGGAGAAUCACACUCAUAUCUCUGGCUUCUUCCCAGUGGCCUGCGGGGAUGUAUUCCAUUUGUGGAUGAGGAUCCUGAAGCUUUUGAAAAGCGAAACCUUUGAUGGACAGCCAAGGUCACGUGAUUGGUGUUUCUAUACAAUAUAGGAAGGGCACUUUACUUCUUCUUGGAGAUAGACACCUUGACAGCUGGAUAGAGGUAAG